UACAGAGGGUGCAAGCGUUGUUCGGAAUUAUUGGGCGUAAAGGGCGCGUAGGCGGUGCGGUAAGUCUGUAGUGAAAUCUCUGGGCUCAACUCAGAGUCUGCUGCAGAAACUGCCGUGCUUGAGUGUGGGAGAGGUGAGUGGAAUUCCCGGUGUAGCGGUGAAAUGCGUAGAUAUCAGGAGGAACACCGAUGGCGAAGGCAGCUCGCUGGGACGGUACUGACGCUGAGACGCGAAAGCGUGGGGAGCAAACAGG
Molecule: ribosomal RNA, 253 nt
Filed under: uncultured bacterium
Lineage: Bacteria
Description: partial 16S ribosomal RNA
Rfam family: Bacterial small subunit ribosomal RNA
Source: RNAcentral